RNAcentral lists this ribosomal RNA (577 nucleotides) under uncultured bacterium. RNAcentral describes it as "partial 16S ribosomal RNA". It matches the Rfam family "Bacterial small subunit ribosomal RNA", at positions 355 to 932 of the family's 1533-position model. The record is from RNAcentral.
UGGGGAAUUUUGGACAAUGGGCGAAAGCCUGAUCCAGCAAUGCCGCGUGUGUGAAGAAGGCCUUCGGGUUGUAAAGCACUUUUGUCCGGAAAGAAAUCCUUGGCUCUAAUACAGUCGGGGGAUGACGGUACCGGAAGAAUAAGCACCGGCUAACUACGUGCCAGCAGCCGCGGUAAUACGUAGGGUGCAAGCGUUAAUCGGAAUUACUGGGCGUAAAGCGUGCGCAGGCGGUUUGCUAAGACCGAUGUGAAAUCCCCGGGCUCAACCUGGGAACUGCAUUGGUGACUGGCAGGCUAGAGUAUGGCAGAGGGGGGUAGAAUUCCACGUGUAGCAGUGAAAUGCGUAGAGAUGUGGAGGAAUACCGAUGGCGAAGGCAGCCCCCUGGGCCAAUACUGACGCUCAUGCACGAAAGCGUGGGGAGCAAACAGGAUUAGAUACCCUGGUAGUCCACGCCCUAAACGAUGUCAACUAGUUGUUGGGGAUUCAUUUCCUUAGUAACGUAGCUAACGCGUGAAGUUGACCGCCUGGGGAGUACGGUCGCAAGAUUAAAACUCAAAUGAAUUGACGGGUCAAGCUG